This 253-nucleotide ribosomal RNA is filed under the name uncultured bacterium. RNAcentral describes it as "partial 16S ribosomal RNA". It matches the Rfam family "Archaeal small subunit ribosomal RNA", at positions 474 to 727 of the family's 1478-position model. The record is from RNAcentral.
UACCAGCACCCCGAGUGGUCGGGACGUUUAUUGGGCCUAAAGCAUCCGUAGCCGGUUCUACAAGUCUUCCGUUAAAUCCAACUGCUUAACAGGUGGGCUGCGGAAGAUACUAUAGAGCUAGGAGGCGGGAGAGGCAAGCGGUACUCGAUGGGUAGGGGUAAAAUCCGUAGAUCCAUUGAAGACCACCAGUGGCGAAGGCGGCUUGCCAGAACGCGCUCGACGGUGAGGGAUGAAAGCUGGGGGAGCAAACCGG